GGAAGAAUAGCUCAGUGGUAGAGUGCGUGCUUAGCAUGCAUGAGGUCCUGGGUUCAAUCCCCAGUCCCUCCA
This 72-nucleotide transfer RNA is filed under the name Camelus bactrianus (Bactrian camel). It matches the Rfam family "tRNA". Rfam says of the family: Transfer RNA (tRNA) molecules are approximately 80 nucleotides in length. The record is from Rfam by way of RNAcentral. RNAcentral also lists the same sequence under 2 other names. Lineage: Eukaryota; Metazoa; Chordata; Mammalia; Artiodactyla; Camelidae.